RNAcentral lists this ribosomal RNA (250 nucleotides) under uncultured prokaryote. Its description in RNAcentral is "partial 16S rRNA". It matches the Rfam family "Bacterial small subunit ribosomal RNA", at positions 525 to 775 of the family's 1533-position model. The record is from RNAcentral.
ACGAAGGGUGCAAGCGUUAAUCGGAAUUACUGGGCGUAAAGCGUGCGUAGGCGGUUUCUUAAGUCUGCUGUGAAAUCCCCGGGCUCAACCUGGGAAUGGCAGUGGAUACUGGGAGGCUAGAGUGUGUCAGAGGGUGGUGGAAUUCCCGGUGUGGGGGUGAAAGGGGAGAGGUUGGGGGGAAACACCGGGGGGGAGGGCGGCCACCGGGAACACCAUGGAGGUGGGGCCAGGAAGGGUGGGGAGCAAACAG